AGAAAGUCUUUUCAUUGCACCGUGACUCUGAAGCUUCUACUGGGAAGAGGGUCUCGGGCCUGAACCUCUCUUUCAACUUCAGCCCUUUAGCAAGUAUGAAAAAUGAACGUUACUUUGCUCCGUUGAUGAAGGAAGCCCAGAGAAACUCUUCUUUUUCAUCAGGCUAAGCCUCGGUCUCUCAGCAAAGUUUUCUUUACUGAGACUUAGAGAAAGAGAGGUCAGCAACCUGAGAUAACUAUAAUUUUUCCUUUUACCUCCACAGGGUUCCUGAUCUCACCUGAAGACAAGCAUGUGCCCUGGAACAAGAAUUUUUCUGUCUUUCCUCAGUCCCAGAGGCAGGUUCUGGGACAGACUUCGGCCUCCCAAGGGGAUGUUACUGCCAAGCAAGAAGGAAACCCCAUAAAGGAGAUAUCCUGACUCUAGGGAAAGGUGGCAGCUUGGACAUGGACCUCCUCUGAAUUCACCCUCUUAUCUUUGGGCUGCACAAAGGUAGUGAUUUAUGUUUGUUACCUUUAU
Molecule: long non-coding RNA, 516 nt
Filed under: Neogale vison (American mink)
Lineage: Eukaryota; Metazoa; Chordata; Mammalia; Carnivora; Mustelidae
Description: Neovison vison (American mink) lncRNA (ENSNVIG00000004860.1)
Source: RNAcentral